RNAcentral lists this ribosomal RNA (492 nucleotides) under uncultured bacterium. Its description in RNAcentral is "partial 16S ribosomal RNA". It matches the Rfam family "Bacterial small subunit ribosomal RNA", at positions 29 to 507 of the family's 1533-position model. The record is from RNAcentral.
AGUGAACGCUGGCGGUAGGCCUAACACAUGCCAGUCGAACGGCAGCACAGUAAGAGCUUGCUCUUACGGGUGGCGAGUGGCGGACGGGUGAGGAAUACAUCGGAAUCUACUUUUUCGUGGGUGAUAACGUAGGGAAACUUACGCUAAUACCGCAUACGGCCUACGGGUGAAAACAGGGGAUCUUCGGACCUUGCGCGAUUGAAUGAGCCGAUGUCGGAUUAGCUAGUUGGCGGGGUAAAGGCCCACCAAGGCGACGAUCCGUAGCUGGUCUGAGAGGAUGAUCAGCCACACUGGAACUGAGACACGGUCCAGACUCCUACGGGAGGCAGCAGUGGGGAAUAUUGGACAAUGGGCGCAAGCCUGAUCCAGCCAUACCGCGUGGGUGAAGAAGGCCUUCGGGUUGUAAAGCCCUUUUGUUGGGAAAGAAAAGCAGCAGGUUAAUACCCCGCUGUUCUGACGGUACCCAAAGAAUAAGCAUCGGCUAACUUCGUG